UGAGGAAUAUUGGUCAAUGGGCGCAAGCCUGAACCAGCCAUCCCGCGUGCAGGAUGACGGCCCUAUGGGUUGUAAACUGCUUUUGUACAGGAAGAAAAAUCCCGAUGUAUCGGGACUUGCCGGUACUGUGCGAAUAAGCAUCGGCUAACUCCGUGCCAGCAGCCGCGGUAAUACGGAGGAUGCAAGCGUUAUCCGGAUUCAUUGGGUUUAAAGGGUGCGUAGGCGGCUAUUUAAGUCAGUGGUGAAAUCUUGCCGCUUAACGGUAAAAUUGCCAUUGAUACUGAAUAGCUUGAGUACAGUUGAGGUAGGCGGAAUGUGUAGUGUAGCGGUGAAAUGCUUAGAUAUUACACAGAACACCAAUUGCGAAGGCAGCUUACUAAACUGUCACUGACGCUGAUGC
Molecule: ribosomal RNA, 400 nt
Filed under: uncultured bacterium
Lineage: Bacteria
Description: bacterial SSU rRNA
Rfam family: Bacterial small subunit ribosomal RNA
Source: RNAcentral